GUGCUUACUUCAGUAGCACAUAUACUAAAAUUAGAAUUAUACAAAGAAGAUUAACUUGGUACAUUAUCAAGGAUUACAGGCAAGUUUGAGAAUUGUUCCAUAUUUUU
Molecule: small nuclear RNA, 107 nt
Organism: Phodopus roborovskii (desert hamster)
Lineage: Eukaryota; Metazoa; Chordata; Mammalia; Rodentia; Cricetidae
Source: RefSeq, a predicted model, not a curated record